GCACUCCCUACCCAUAAUAGAAGAACCCUUUAGUAGAGUAGCGGUGGACAUAAUAGGACCGUUGAAGAAACCCAGUCCCUCCGGCAAGAAGUACAUCUUGACCGUAGUGGACUACGCCACCAGAUACCCCGAAGCAGUGGCCCUAACUAAUGUACAUGCUAACACCGUGGUGGAUGCCCUUAUGCGAAUAUUCUCCCGCAUGGGAUUGCCCCGGGAGAUUAUUUCGGCUAGAGGUACCCAAUUCACGGCAGAGGUCACUCACCAACUCUGGAAAAUAUGUGGAGUAAAAUCUAUCCUUAACUCUCCCUACC
This is a non-coding RNA of Pelobates cultripes (western spadefoot toad), 311 nucleotides long. NCBI's taxonomy places the organism in Eukaryota, Metazoa, Chordata, Amphibia, Anura, Pelobatidae. The record is from the annotation of a GenBank genome assembly.